GACGAACGCUGGCGGCGUGCUUAACACAUGCAAGUCGAACGGAAGGGCGCUGCGUUUGUGGGGUUCUUGUUUGGCGAACGGGGGAGUAACACGUGAGUAACAUGCCCUUGACUUUGGGAUAACUUCAGGAAACUGGGGCUAAUACCGGAUAGGAUCUCCUGCUGCAUGUUGGGGGUUGGUAAGUGUCGGCGGUUGGGGAUGGACUCGCGGCUUAUCAGCUGGUUGGGGGGGUAGUGGCUUACCAAGGCUUUGACGGGUAGCCGGCCUGAGAGGGUGACCGGCCACCUGGGUACUGAGAUACGGAGCAGACGGCUACGGGCCGCAGCAGUGGGAAAUAUUGCAGAAUGGGCGGACGUCUGAUGUAGAGACGCCGCGAGCGGAAUGCCGUGCUACGGGUGAAAAACAGCUGUCGAAGGUGAUGAGGCCUGAGUGACGGUAAUGGGUAAAGAAGCAACGGCUAACUACGUG
RNAcentral lists this ribosomal RNA (468 nucleotides) under uncultured bacterium. RNAcentral describes it as "partial 16S ribosomal RNA". It matches the Rfam family "Bacterial small subunit ribosomal RNA", at positions 28 to 507 of the family's 1533-position model. The record is from RNAcentral.